RNAcentral lists this ribosomal RNA (497 nucleotides) under uncultured bacterium. RNAcentral's name for it is "partial 16S ribosomal RNA". It matches the Rfam family "Bacterial small subunit ribosomal RNA", at positions 28 to 507 of the family's 1533-position model. The record is from RNAcentral.
GAUGAACGCUGGCGGCGUGCCUAAUACAUGCAAGUCGAGCGAACGGACGAGAAGCUUGCUUCUCUGAUGUUAGCGGCGGACGGGUGAGUAACACGUGGAUAACCUACCUAUAAGACUGGGCUAACUUCGGGAAACCGGAGCUAAUACCGGAUAAUAUUUUGAACCGCAUGGUUCAAAAGUGAAAGACGGUCUUGCUGUCACUUAUAGAUGGAUCCGCGCUGCAUUAGCUAGUUGGUAAGGUAACGGCUUACCAAGGCGACGAUGCAUAGCCGACCUGAGAGGGUGAUCGGACACACUGGAACUGAGACACGGUCCAGACUCCUACGGGAGGCAGCAGUAGGGAAGCUUCCGCAAUGGGCGAAAGCCUGACGGAGCAACGCCGCGUGAGUGAUGAAGGUCUUCGGAUCGUAAAACUCUGUUAUUAGGGAAGAACAUAUGUGUAAGUAACUGUGCACAUCUUGACGGUACCUAAUCAGAAAGCCACGGCUAACUACGUG